Molecule: ribosomal RNA, 679 nt
Filed under: uncultured bacterium
Lineage: Bacteria
Description: bacterial SSU rRNA
Rfam family: Bacterial small subunit ribosomal RNA
Source: RNAcentral
AGGGUUUGAUCCUGGCUCAGAUUGAACGCUGGUGGUAUGCUUAACACAUGCAAGUCGAACGGUAACAUUGGAGCUUGCUCCAGAUGACGAGUGGCGGACGGGUGAGUAACGCGUAGGAAUCUGCCUAGUAGUGGGGGACAACAUGUGGAAACGCAUGCUAAUACCGCAUACGCCCUACGGGGGAAAGCGGGGGAUCUUCGGACCUCGCGCUAUUAGAUGAGCCUGCGUUAGAUUAGCUUGUUGGUGGGGUAAUGGCCUACCAAGGCGACGAUCUAUAGCUGGUCUGAGAGGACGAUCAGCCACACUGGGACUGAGACACGGCCCAGACUCCUACGGGAGGCAGCAGUGGGGAAUAUUGGACAAUGGGCGCAAGCCUGAUCCAGCAAUACCACGUGUGUGAAGAAGGCCUGAGGGUUGUAAAGCACUUUCAAUUGGGAGGAAAACAGCUGGGUUAAUAGCCCUGCUCUUGACAUUACCUUUAGAAGAAGCACCGGCUAACUCCGUGCCAGCAGCCGCGGUAAUACGGAGGGUGCGAGCGUUAAUCGGAAUUACUGGGCGUAAAGCGUACGUAGGCGGUUAUUUAAGUCAGAUGUGAAAGCCCCGGGCUCAACCUGGGAACUGCAUUUGAAACUGGAUAACUAGAGUUUGAUAGAGGAGAGUAGAAUUUCUGGUGUAGCGG